AAAAUAAAGGAAGAUGGGUGAGGAGGACUGUAAAUACACUCCAGUGACUUGCAGCUGGGGUGUAGAAAAACACAUAUAUCAUACUAAUUGUUGUUUAGUCUUGUGUGCUUGACAAGUACAACAUCUGUGUUUAGAUAACAUAGGCCUGUGAUAGACUCAGAGGCACCCUAUCAAACAUGCUUGAGAUUCCUGCCCCGCUGUGGGAAAGAUCAACACACAGCGGUAAAAUACGCCUGCGUGAUUCCCCAAUAUACAGGCAAAACCAGCAGGUUCAGCGAUCCUCUAGCAAGGACCGAGCUCCGUGGUGCUUGCGUCCCCACUUGUGUGCCUCUGCCCAGGUGCUGCUUCAGGGAUCCUGAGAUUCACGAGGCAACAGCUGUACACCGAUGAACACUACAAAAUUGACUGGCAGUGGACUGUUUCCUCCUUCAACACAAUAAACUCUGCAUCAAUUCUGAAGGCAUAUGUCGCUUCAACGUAACCAAUGAAUCAGCCAGAGUAGAGGAGGACAUUCAACAUCUCCAGGAACAGGAGGUACACUUGGUGAUCCUUGCAGGUCCCUUCCAACUCAGGACAUUCUAUGAAAUUAAACAAUCUAUUGGUGGUGCCUGGCUGGAUGAGUGGUUUAAUUCCCUGGCACGAUGAAUGGGACACCUGAUUCAAAGCAUUAUUGUAGAGCUAUGUUUAUUCCUUUAUCUAUACGUAUUUAUUGUGUGCCUCUGCAAAUUACACUGUGCUGCACCCUGCAAGCCCAAAGGGACACUUCCAGCUUUGCCAGCCCCAGCAGAAGCGGUCUUCUGAGCAAAGGGGUAGAAUGUGGGAAAAUAAAGGAAGAUGGGUGAGGAGGACUGUAAAUACACUCCAGUGACUUGCAGCUGGGGUGUAGAAAAACACAUAUAUCAUACUAAUUGUUGUUUAGUCUUGUGUGCUUGACAAGUACAACAUCUGUGUUUAGAUAACAUAGGCCUGUGAUAGACUCAGAGGCACCCUAUCAAACAUGCUUGAGAUUCCUGCCCCGCUGUGGGAAAGAUCAACACACAGCGGUAAAAUACGCCUGCGUGAUUCCCCAAUACACAGGCAAAACCAGCAGGUUCAGCGAUCCUCUAGCAAGGACCGAGCUCCGUGGUGCUUGCGUCCCCACUUGUGUGCCUCUGCCCAGGUGCUGCUUCGGGGAUCCUGAGAUUCACGAGGCAGCUACAUAAGGUGCCCAGUUGCUGAAAGUACCAGGAAGCUAUUUACAACCCUAAAAGUAAGAUUUCCAGGAAUAGCCCAAAUUUUUUCUAGCCCAGCUUUGCUAGAUAAAGCAAGCUGGGCUCCAGAAAGAUGCUGCAGCUUCAGCUGACCAGAAGACAGCUCCUCUUUGAAACCUGCUCAGGAGAGCAGGCUGUGCACAGCCCAGCUACACAAUCACCCAAACUGGGAUGUAGAGGACCUGGAUCCAAGACCUGGCUCAGAGGGAUGAACAGCCAGUCCCAAGAGCCUUACUACCCCAGUGCUUUCCCCCCUCUCCCUUUCCAGAUGCUGCAUUGUAGAAGAUAAUAUAUUUUAACUAGACCAAGAUGCAACACUGGUGAUACCUGUUUCUGAAAAGAUGUUCCUACUGUUUCUAACUAUGGCUCUGGGUCCAGCUAUGAUCAAAGACCAUCAGAGACUUCCAGAACUAGGGGCAGUGCUACUUUAGUAUCAUGUUUUAAUGGCAUUGUAUAGCUGUAUGUAUAACCAUAUCACCAACAAAGCGUAGAUCGCAGUCACACAGAUAUCAGACAUUCACUAGCAAAUCCGCAGAUUUUCCACUUCAACAUAAGAACCAGUAGGUGUAUGAUCCUCUCAUAUUCACACCAGAAUUCCCCUCUCCUCCUACAGCUGCUUUAAAUGCGACUCUUCACUCCUUCACUGAUACAGUCUAUUUCAUCACAUUUUCCAAUUAAAUAGGCUGUGCUCCUGUCCCCUCUCCCUAGCACUACCAUAAUCCAAGUAAGCCUUUACUCAUACACAAUAGAGGAGAAAAGAAUGGCAGGGAUUCACUCUCCCUUGAUUGCCAACCCAGGUGCACAUUUAAACACAGAGUUCCUUAGGUGGGGCAGAGACAUCAGCAAUUACAUGGGAUCUGCCUCAGCAGCCAGGACCCAAAGCACUAUGCUCUCUAUCAAGUGAGAUGUGAGUCAUUACAGUCAAAAGAGCUAAUCAGGUUAGCAGUUUUUAUCCUGAAUGCAUUUGAUAUAAUUUUUAAGUUUCUCUUCUAAAACUUUGGUUCCCUAGAGAUUGAUAAUUUAAGUAGUUGAAAGAAGUGAUUAAAAACAUGAAAUAGUUGACAUAUGGUAAAAUGCAAACAUUAAUAUUCAAGAAAAAAAAAAGCUAUUUCUUAAGGCAUACUCAAAGCUCCUCUAAUAAUAUCUCAGGAUCGUUAUUUUAUUUUACUUAUUUCAGUCUCGCUGUCUUCUACCUGCUCCCCAAUAACUGAAAGCUACCAGACAUUAAAUAGAGUUAAAUGCAAAAAACUAAACACAGGUACCUCAGUGGUUUACUAGUUUGUCUUCCACACCAUAUACCAACACAUUCAACAAUUCCCCAUACCAUGCUAUCCAUUUGAAGGGCAAAACACUUAAAAUGGAUAAAACACUUCUGAGGCUGAGUUUUCUCAGCUUCAGAAACCCACAAGACAAGGGUCCAAGUUCACUCCUGAAAUAAUGAAAGAGGAAAAUUACAUUAAACUUUUUUACAAAUAUCCUGAUAAAAGUUUUGUCUGUUGUAAGUUAAGGGUCCAAAACCUCAUUAGAAAGACUUCCAGCUUCUUUAUAUGACUUUAAUCCACAUAAAUCAGAAACCUCAGAUCAAGUUCCCUAAUAAAAUAAUUGUUUUAUACAGUAUCCUUACCUUAAUAAAGCCAAAGCAAAACACAAGCUUACUCAGACAACUAUUCACUUCUGCUUUUCUACUCAAGAGAGAACACUUUAUGCUUACCUCCCUUGAUUUUAAGAAACCAAGUUUCAUAAGGCCCUGCUGUACCUGAUUGUUUCAGCUGGCUUAACUAGAACUUUUCCAUCACCUGCUGGAACUUAACCUUCCAGCUCUUCAGCUGGGAAGGACGUUUUACCAGGAAAUGUCUCAUGAUUAGUUUAUAAAUACUUCUUCAGCAGUGCUACAGCUAGAGAGAUUUCUUUGUGUGUUUAUAGCAUGCAGCAUUAGCUAAAUGCAUUGUCUUUCAACAGAUCUCUGAUUUUGGCUCUGCUUGAGGUAAAGGAACAUCUCUAGCAGCUUAUUACCUUUGCUGGAUUUAGGAGCUGUGUCAUUGCUAUCAUCCUGUUCUUCAGAGAGCUCAGCAGUAAAGCUGAGAGCCUGUUGCUGUCUAUGCUUACCCAAACACAUUAAAUUAAUGUACUUCCCAAAUAUCGGCUUCCUUCUUUCUCCAUGCCUUAUUUGGCUCUUGGGUUUUUUGCCUGUUAAAGUUUUAUUUAAUUUCCUUUCUGUUCCUAGUGACGGUUUAAAGACUUGGUUUCCAGUUAUGUUUCUUGUUGUUCCUGUGUCAUUUUGGUAGGAUUAGCUUUAUGAGUUGCUGGCCAAUUUGUCUAAAGCUUGUCUUGUUUUCUUGCAUGUUAAUUAGGCAGGAGAAAGGUCAAGAAGGUUCUCUGGGCAUGCUGAGGGCUGUAGCCCUCUCCUUUAACAGCACAAAGAUAGGAACGGGUAGGGACAGAGGUGCCUGGGGAGAUGAACAGGGAUAGAGUCUGCUAAGAAAUCUUUGCCGUAUUUUCUUGUCUCUUGGUUCAAACACAACAAAAUUCUUAGAGAGGGGUGAAUUUGGAAUCUGUCAUAAAAAUUUACUUUUAGAAUAAAGAAUGAGACCACUUUCUAUGCCUGUAUAUUUCCUUGGGGAUAUUCUGUCAGAGUAUCUUCAGAGAAUUUUCAACAUCACUAGCUUUUGCAAGGGAUUGCUAAAGCUGCUGUUAAACAACUGGUGCAUUGGAGCAAUAGUCUAUGGUACGUUAGUGGUAUCAGUAGGAACAAAAUCAAGCCAUGUGCCUGAUUUGAGUUUUGUGCAGGAGAAUGAGAAGAAACUAAGCAAUCCUUCUAGGUAAGUGAUGUGGGUCUUCUUAAGAUGCCUGCCAGGAGGGUAUAACUGAACAGAUGAACACAAGUCAUUAAAAUGCUUUAAUGAAGGAAGAAAAGAAAAAUCCAGAAAAACCUGCAGCAGAUAGGAGUACUUAGAUUUUCCGCCUUUUUUAUUCCUCUUAAGCUGCUGCUUAAAUACAUAAGGAGCUAUUAUUUUCAAUGUUCUAGUCUUUAAUUCUUGUCAUUGUCAUAAAUUUAAUGAAAAGAUAAUACUUAAGCUACAGGAAUGACUAAGCACAUACCUUCAAGGACUGGCUUUCAAUUAUGUUAAGGUGCCUAAAUAAAUCCAAAAUCUGCUCUUUCACAGCCUAUCUUAUAGAUACCUAAUGGUCUGGUGAGAAGAAAGAUUGUUUAUAAAUAACUGAAUGGAGAUUUGUCCUUGUAUAUACCUGUUUUAAAAUUUACGGUGUAGUCUCCACCAUUAUUUUUGUACUUCCAUAUAUUUUUACUUCUGUCCCUUUGGUUAUUUAAUUGAGUCUUUUAAGACUUUCUAUUUUAUGCAUUAUUUUUUUUCUGUUCUGAUGGGCAAAUUCAAACCUGUUACACUAGCAGGUAACACUUUUCCUGAGCUAUGGUGAGACCAAACUUCACUUUUAUCGAGAUGCAGAGAGAAAACGGACAGUAGAUAAACACUGAAUUAUUAAUGCAGUCAUGUCCCAAAUAAAUACAAUCCAGUAAAAAGGUGCAUUGACCUCAUUUGAAGGGUUUUGUUAGUUUGUUUUUCUGAAACCAUUUAUUUCUACCAUCUCCUGUAGGGCAAAACCAGAAAAACAGUUUCCCAAGGAUGUUGAUUGUCUUCCUGAAACUUUCAUCUACAGAUAUUUAAUGUCUCUUAAACUAAAACUUUUUUCCCAGUGAGGAAAAGCUUCUGAUUCUGCAGAAGUCUUAGCCUUUGUUUAGAAGAAAGUUAAGUUUCUACUAUCCACAGUCUCUCAGAUCUGUCUCCUACCCCGUAGAAAAUGGGUUUGGGGUGUUUUAGGUGUUUAAACAUGUUGCCUAAUUUUAGCAAAUUCUGACUGAGCGCUAAAGGAUUCAAAGCUUCUCAUUUUCUCUAGAUCUCAUUUAAGUAGCCAGGCAGUUGGAUAGAAGGUGGGGGAGGGAGACCCAAAACAAACUGUUGUAAUUUCUACUAAGUGAAAGAAUACAGUAGCAACUCCUUCCCUAAUAUACAGCAAAGAAACUGUAUUUGGGAUUUCCCAACCACAGGGAAAUCUUCAAUUUGCACAUCAUCAGAUACUGAGAAUCCAACCCCAGGAACGCAAUGUGAAACCAAGGUUUGUUUAUUUAUUCUGUUGUUUAUAGAACUCUUGUGUAAAAGAGCUCAGGGGUGGGCAACUUUGGAUCUAGUAGUAAGCAGAGAGGAAUUGCUAUUUAAGCAACUGGCUGCGGCUGAGCUGAAGAUGAGGCUUGUGUUGGGGCUGCGAGGUGUGGGUACUGGGCAGAGGUAGGCUUCUCAUUUGAAUCCAAAAGGCAUGCAAAAAGACUAAUAUUUCUCAAAACUGAAUGUAAACUCCCCAAACUCCUCCCAUACUUCCUUUCUGUCCCAGUUUCAGGAACCUACGUUUAAAGCAAAGCAGACAUUUUAUCAAGCUGAAAUUUCAUUAAGCAGAAAUUUAGCAUGUUGAGAAGUGCUGUUGAAUAGGAGCCUUUAUAACUUCAUCAGCUAAGGACUGCUGAUGUCCCAGAACACUCUUAAGAACUUGCUGAGUUAACAGUGGAUACUUUGUAAAUCCUGUGUUUCCCUAUUUGCUUUUUAAAUAUAAGUAAUACAGUUGUUGCUAUACUUUUUGAAGCAAACCUAUUGCACUCCUGCAUUUUUACAAGGAAUUUGCUGCCCUCUGUUGAUCAGAUGUGUUAAACACGACACAUGAAACAACUGUUUCAGAGGGCACGUAGAGGCAUUUGGAUAUUUAUUUCUUAAACUUUGAACCUUUAUAGUGCAACUCUUGAAAUUAUGUAUGUGUAUUCAAUAAUCUGGCUAAAGAGGAUACAGCUACUGUUACUGUGAAAAGCCUGGAGCUGUAGGCACCCUAUUAUUUGUUAGCUUCUCUUCAUACAAAGCAAUAAAAUGGGUAUAUGUAUUUGGGAA
This is a non-coding RNA of Phalacrocorax carbo (great cormorant), 6196 nucleotides long. Lineage: Eukaryota; Metazoa; Chordata; Aves; Suliformes; Phalacrocoracidae. The record is from RefSeq and is a predicted model, not a curated record.